This 327-nucleotide unclassified non-coding RNA is filed under the name soil metagenome. RNAcentral's name for it is "partial contains 5.8S ribosomal RNA, internal transcribed spacer 2, and large subunit ribosomal RNA". The stretch from base 1 to 120 matches the Rfam family "5.8S ribosomal RNA", at positions 35 to 154 of the family's 154-position model. The record is from RNAcentral.
GAUGAAGAACGCAGCGAAAUGCGAUAAGUAAUGUGAAUUGCAGAAUUCAGUGAAUCAUCGAAUCUUUGAACGCACAUUGCGCCCCUUGGUAUUCCGAGGGGCAUGCCUGUUCGAGCGUCAUUAUAACCCCUCAAGCUCAGCUUGGUGUUGGGGCCUGCUGCACUGGCAGCCCUUAAAAUCAGUGGCGGCGCCAUCUGGCUCUAAGCGUAGUAAUUCUUCUCGCUAUGGAGUCCUGGUGGAUGCUUGCCAUCAACCCCCAAUUUUUCUAUGGUUGACCUCGGAUCAGGUAGGGAUACCCGCUGAACUUAAGCAUAUCAUAAGCGGAGA